Molecule: ribosomal RNA, 253 nt
Filed under: uncultured bacterium
Lineage: Bacteria
Description: partial 16S ribosomal RNA
Rfam family: Bacterial small subunit ribosomal RNA
Source: RNAcentral
UACGUAGGGCGCAAGCGUUGUCCGGAAUUAUUGGGCGUAAAGAGCUCGUAGGCGGUUUGUCGCGUCUGCUGUGAAAACCUAAGGCUCAACCUUGGGCUUGCAGUGGGUACGGGCAGACUAGAGUGCGGUAGGGGAGACUGGAAUUCCUGGUGUAGCGGUGAAAUGCGUAGAUAUCAGGAGGAACACCUGCGGUGUAGACGGCUUACUGGACGGUAACUGACGCUGAGGCACGAAAGCGUGGGUAGCAAACAGG